UUUCGGUUCGCACCGUCUUCGCGCGAACCGAAAGAUCCAAUUGCCUGCGGCGAGAGUGCACUCAGAGCGCACUAGUUUUCCCAAAGAAAAACGCUAUAAUAGAUAACUUAUUGUAGAAAGCCUUUUAAGUAUAAACUAGGAUAAUGCAUUGCAUUUGUCUGCAUAAUUUUAUAACACAACCUGUAUUUUCUUAACCAUGUGUAUCAGGCUGCGGUUUCACUCGUUCAGGAAAUGUGUUUGAUUGUUGCAAAGUUUAAAUUAACGAUCCGGGCAAUCAAUAAAUACUCCUGGUACGCAGAACAAUAGCCGGGAAUGGGUAUGAAACCGUUGCAAUCUGAUGGUUGAAUAAACCACAUGGGCAAGAUUCAAACAAUGCACGUUAACUCAAAUGAAUCAGAUGGGAACAGAAAAUGUUCCUCCACAAAUGAAUAAAAUGGUGCCUGGACAAAUACAACAAAAUAUGCAGUUUCAGAUGCAGAAUCAGUUACCAGAUCAAAUAUAGUAUCAUAAUACGGGACCAAUAGUCAGUAUACAGACUAGUACACCGCAACAAUUGAGUCAAAUUGACUCUGGACAAUUAGGUCGUGGUCAGAUGCAGCAGCAGUUAAACCAUAUUCAAAGAAAGCUGGGUGAAAUGAUGAAUACUGGAUUUCAUAGCCCACAUAACGUUACGCCGAAUCAAUUUUUGAGACAGAGUCCAUCUCCUUCAGCUCCAAGCUUAGCUCGUUUAUUGGAUACAUUAAACUAUAUGUAUGGACCGUCUCCAAAUAAAUCGUAAAAUAAUCCUGAAAGUGUAGACUCAACACAAAGUCCUCAGCAAGAAAAUCAGGUUUACAGAGAUAAAGUCAAACAGCUAAGCAAAUAAAUAGAGAAGAAUGAUUGUCAAGAUGAGCAGUGAAGGAAAUGUCGACUCGGCAAGAUCAAGAAACUGUUGAAAAUUCUAUCAAGUCCCAAUAAACGUAUGCCAUUGGAUAUAAUGCGAAGUUGUCCUGGAAAAAUUAGACUUCAAGAGAGAAGAUUGUAAUGUAAUAAGUGACGAUGUUGGAGGAACAUCAAAUUUUCAGUCCGCUAUUAGAAGCUGUUAGCGCACAUUUCCAAUAUCUGGUUAACAAUCACACAUUGCAACGCACUUUUGAACCAUGUUUGGUUGCCUUAGCCAGUUUUUCGACUGUUUAUACCAGCAUAUAUAUUAGGUUAUGGAACGAUGUUAGUAAUUGUCUACAAUACAUUACUUGAAAUAAUCUGAGCAUAUCAAAUAUUCUGCUAAAAAUAAUUAAGUAUUGUAUUCAUAUCAAAAUAGUUGAAAUGCCUAGUGUAAACAAAAGUAGUAAGCGGAUUUAAUACGGAUAUAGUAUUUAAGUUGCAUUCUAAAAUUCUCUGAGUGUACUGAAAACUUAUUGUUUACAUUACAUAUAUUUAGUACUCUGAGACUGGUAUUCAUUGUCGAUUUCAAGAUCACCUUAUGUGAUGUAAAGAUGCUAAUAUGGCUCUGACUUGUUGAUAACUUGAUUUCUUUUUAGUAAUAUACAUUAAUUUUAAUUUCAACUUACACUCAAUUGCAUAAUCCAACUUGUUUUCUCAACCAUAAAUUGUGAUAUUUUACAUUAAAAGUUUUAAGAAUUUUAUAGAAACUCUUUUAUUUAUUUAAAUUGAAGAUAUAAUAUGUAACGUACAAAUAUUUUGUUUCACAUAACACUUUUAUGGUGGUUAUUUUAAAUCAAUAAACGAUAACCGCAUUGUAUUAUUGAAAUUAACAAUAUACCAUCACAUAUAAAUAAACUACAUCAAACACAUUUCCUAAACGAGUGAAACCGUAACCUGAUACUCAAGGGCUUUCUACAAUAAGCCAUUAAUCAUUACUCAUAAGCGUAAACCGUAAGAAUUGAUCAAUCACAUUCUAAUGUGAGGAGAAUAUUCGACAACUAAUUGGUCAAUUCUUACGGUUUACGUUUACAACUAAUAGUUAAUGAGUUAUUGUAGAAAGCCCUUAACAUUGAUGCGCGUAUUAAGGGUGCAUUCCAUUAUUCAAUCAGGUUGGUAUUCAUAAUCAAUUCAUUAUUAAGAUUAUCCAAAGUGCAAUCUUAAGAUGUUAUCAACAAAUCAGAGCUGUAUUAGCAUCUUUACAUUACAUAAGGUGAUCUUGAAAUAAGAAUCAACAAUGAAUAUCAGCUUCAGAGUACUGAAUAUACAUAUGUAAUGUAAACGAUAAGUUUUCAGUACACUCAGAAUUUUAGAAUGCAACUUAAAUACUAUAUCCGUAUUAAAUCGCUUAAUACUUCGUUUACACUAGGCAUUUCAACUAUUUUGAUAUAAAUACAAUACUUAAUUAUUUUUAGCAAAAUAUUUGAUAUGCUCAGAUUAUUACAGCGUUUAUUUCCAUGAAAAUUGUGCAUAUCUAUAAAAGGAAGUGCUUCUGCAAUUGAAAGGUCAAGAAUAUGAAUAUGUUUAUUCUUUUUAGCUGAACUGAUUGUUCUAAUCUGCAUUGUUCAGAAUUUAUCUUCCUUCUUUCAACAAGAAGAGAAAAGAAUGAACUGUGAAGUAGUGCAGUCAGUUUAAUUAAAAAAACAGACCUCAUGUGAAAUGUUACAUAGUUUAAUAUUAUAAAGUCUGUUUGCAUCACAAGUCUGUUUAAAUUAAUACAAAGUAAUCUCAAUUCAACUUUCUGUGUUUUUGACAAUAUAAUGCAAUAAAUGCUCUUCAUGACUUGAUUUUUUUUUUUAAAUAGAGACAUCACAUAUGACAAAUAAACAAUUUCAUAAGUAUUAAAAAUAUUGAACAAA
Long non-coding RNA from Solenopsis invicta (red fire ant), 2780 nucleotides. RefSeq lists it as uncharacterized. The transcript has 5 exons. NCBI's taxonomy places the organism in Eukaryota, Metazoa, Arthropoda, Insecta, Hymenoptera, Formicidae. The record is from RefSeq and is a predicted model, not a curated record.